CUCGCAUCAAUUUAAAGAGAGUAAUGUUCAUAAAAGUGACAUUAUCUCGAUAGAGCAAGUGAAAAAUGAAUCCAUAUACUAGAGUUUGUGUAACAUCCCGAAGGCUUCUAUAUUUUCAUUUGAAACUUAAAGGUGAAGUUUAAAAAGUUUAAGGAGGACUAAAAAUACAUUUAUCAGAGGAUAUGCAUUUAAUUUGGAAAAAAGAUUACUUAAGGACAAACACCGAACAUAAGUUAUAAGUUACUGAAAAUCAAAUUUGAGUUAUAUAUGCAAAUUUUAUAAAGUUAAUAGAAUAAAAUUUUGAAAUAUGCAGGUUUCAUGGGAUGUUAAAGCCAAACGGUAAUUGUAAAGUUGAUGCUUAGUACUGAAUUUAUUUGGUCCAAUUGGAAGUUGUGUCGAUGAGGAAUUUAGGCACCUUAUUGAGAAGUUUGAAAAGUGGAGAGCUUAAAUAAUGACUUUUUAGUCUCUCCAUUGACUUGAGUGAGAAUGUUGAAAAAUAUACAACUCUAUUAUUAUUAAAAGGAGAUUCAAAGCUCAAUCAGAAAAGUAAAGCAACAAGCCAAUCAACCAAGGGCUAGGUGCAAUUUCUUGAAUUGUUGAAAAAUAUUAGAUCUCAUAUUGUUGACACGCUAAAAGUGCAGCCCAAUUCGAAUAGUCCAAAGAAUGAAGUCCAACUGGACAAUUCAAGAUAAAUGCCCAAAUAGGGUUAUUAAUGAAUGCAGUGGAAACUCACGAACGCGGUAACACCAUCGCCCAAACUUACAAGACGUCCAAGAUCUGAGCGAAUGAAGUGCCUUGCAGUCGCCCAGAGUUAUAACCCCGUUCUCACCCAAACCUUCGAAUCGCCCAGGACCUUAGCAAACAUAAGGAAUUAUGGUUAUCCAAAAGUACAGUUAUCGAAGCAGUUAUUGGGUAAUCUUAUCACGUUCCAUGAUUCAAGAUAUUCAGUUGAAGACGGUUGAACUACAAAGAGUAGUGGCAGCAUUUAGAGACGGCAGUUCCACGAUAAGUUGGCCACCAUGAAGAAAGUGGGCAGUUAUAAAGCAAUUAACCAGUUUCUAUGCGGUUGAUCAAAAAGAGAGCAUUAAGGGAAUAUAAAAGGAAGAAAAGACAUAGAGCAAAGGACCCCGAAUCAAACACUCUCAAAUAGAGAAUAUGUAAUUUCAAUUCCUUAGUUUAGACUUAAAACAUUUCUUUUCAGUACUCGUGUACUUGCGCCCCUUGGAGGCAUUCUAUUUAAGUUCCAAU
Molecule: long non-coding RNA, 1248 nt
Filed under: Olea europaea subsp. europaea
Lineage: Eukaryota; Viridiplantae; Streptophyta; Magnoliopsida; Lamiales; Oleaceae
Source: RNAcentral